This 239-nucleotide long non-coding RNA is filed under the name Helianthus annuus (common sunflower). RNAcentral's name for it is "hypothetical non coding rna". Lineage: Eukaryota; Viridiplantae; Streptophyta; Magnoliopsida; Asterales; Asteraceae. The record is from RNAcentral.
GUGUGUGUUCUACGUCGAUCAGAAGCUCCCAAAGGAGCCAAACCCUAGCUCAAGCUUAUUUGCUCAAAUUGAAAGGGGAAUUCAACCCAAAUCUAAUGCAUGUACCCGAAUUCUUAGUCAUCUAGCCCUAAAGAUCACUUGUGAAGAUGAUGUUAUGGAUAAUCAUAAUAGGAACCACACUAGCAUGGACCAAGCAUGGAAGGCUAACGGGUCAAGAUGAGGCAAGCAAGCGGGUAUGA